GUCACUUUGGCGGAGUGGUUAACGCGCUGCCCUGCUAAUGACACAGUUAGUGUAAGGCAGUUCCCUCGGGAGCGUAGGUUCGAAUCCUACAGGUGACG
This 98-nucleotide transfer RNA is filed under the name Bombardia bombarda. It matches the Rfam family "tRNA". Rfam says of the family: Transfer RNA (tRNA) molecules are approximately 80 nucleotides in length. Their secondary structure includes four short double-helical elements and three loops (D, anti-codon, and T loops). Lineage: Eukaryota; Fungi; Ascomycota; Sordariomycetes; Sordariales; Lasiosphaeriaceae. The record is from Rfam by way of RNAcentral.